GACGAACCGUGCGAACGUUGUUCGGAUUCACUGGGCUUAAAGGGCGCGUAGGCGGGUGAUCAAGUCCGGGGUGAAAUACUUCAGCUUAACUGGAGAAUAGCCUUGGAUACUGGUCGUCUUGAGGGAGGUAGGGGCAUGUGGAACUUCCGGUGGAGCGGUGAAAUGCGUAGAUAUCGGAAGGAACGCCGGUGGCGAAAGCGACGUGCUGGACCUCUUCUAACGCUGAGGCGCGAAAGCCAGGGGAGCAAACGGG
This 253-nucleotide ribosomal RNA is filed under the name uncultured bacterium. RNAcentral's name for it is "partial 16S ribosomal RNA". It matches the Rfam family "Bacterial small subunit ribosomal RNA", at positions 524 to 776 of the family's 1533-position model. The record is from RNAcentral.